GUGCAGAAUACUCGAGCGGCGGACGGCAGAGUAACGCGUAGGAAUGUACCCCAAAGUGAGGGAUAAGCACCGGAAACGGUGUCUAAUACCGCAUAAUAUCUUCGGAUUAAAGCAGUAAUGCGCUUUGGGAACAGCCUGCGUCUGAUUAGCUUGUUGGUGAGGUAAUGGCUCACCAAGGCUACGAUCGGUAGCUGGUCUGAGAGGAUGAUCAGCCUGACUGGAACUGAGACACGGUCCAGACUCCUACGGGAGGCAGCAGUAGGGAAUUUUCCACAAUGGGCGCAAGCCUGAUGGAGCAACGCCGCGUGCAGGAUGAAGGCUUUAGGGUCGUAAACUGCUUUUAUGUGCGAAGAAUUUGACGGUAACACAUGAAUAAGGAUCGGCUAACUACGUGCCAGCAGCCGCGGUCAUACGUAGGAUCCAAGCGUUAUCCGGAAUUACUGGGCGUAAAGAGUUGCGUAGGUGGCAUUGUAAGCAAGACAUGAAAUCGUGUGGCUCAACCAUACGGCUAUGUCUUGAACUGCAAAGCUUUGAGAGCGAGAGGGGUAGAUGGAAUUACUAGUGUAGGAGUGAAAUCCGCAGAUAUUAGUAGGAACACCGAUAGCGUAGGCAGUCUACUGGCUCGUUUCUGACACUGAGGCACGAAAGCGUGGGGAGCAAAUGGGAUUAGAUACCCCAGUAGUCCACGCCGUAAACUAUGGAUGCUAGCUGUGAACCGUAUCGACCCGGUUCGUAGCGAAGCUAACGCGUUAAGCAUCCCGCCUGUGGAGUACGGCCGCAAGGCUAAAGCAUAAAGGAAUUGACGGGGACCCGCACAAGCGGUGGAGCGUGUUGUUUAAUUCGACGCUAAACGAAGAACCUUACCCAGGCUUGACAUCCCGAGAAGUUUGUCGAAAGACAAAUGUGCUUUAUUGAACUCGGUGACAGGUGUUGCAUGGCCGUCGUCAGCUCG
Molecule: ribosomal RNA, 952 nt
Filed under: uncultured bacterium
Lineage: Bacteria
Description: bacterial SSU rRNA
Rfam family: Bacterial small subunit ribosomal RNA
Source: RNAcentral